This 119-nucleotide ribosomal RNA is filed under the name Culex quinquefasciatus (southern house mosquito). The record is from RNAcentral. Lineage: Eukaryota; Metazoa; Arthropoda; Insecta; Diptera; Culicidae.
UCAACGAUCAUACCAUGUUGAAAACACCGGUUCUCGUCCGAUCACCGAAGUUAAGCAACAUCGGGGCGCGGUUAGGACUAAGAUAGGAGACCGCUUGGGAACGUCGCGUGUCGGGUGGA